GGGGAGGGACAGUGCAGCGGCCGCCCAGCGCAGCGCUGAGCGCGGGAGAGAACCACACCAGACCAGACCAGGCAGCAGCAAGAAGAAGCUGGCAGCGGCGGCAGGUUAGGGGUCAGGGGGCGCAAAUUACUUGCCUUGCCCCAGGUUAGGGGGCGCAAAUUACUUGCCUUGCCCCAGGUUAGGGGGCGCAAAUUACUUGCCUUGCCCCAGGUUAGGGGGCACAAAUUACUUGCCUUGCCCCGGGUGCUGACAACCCACGCUACGCCGCUGG
Molecule: non-coding RNA, 271 nt
Organism: Podarcis lilfordi (Lilford's wall lizard)
Lineage: Eukaryota; Metazoa; Chordata; Lepidosauria; Squamata; Lacertidae
Source: the annotation of a GenBank genome assembly